This 68-nucleotide transfer RNA is filed under the name bovine gut metagenome. It matches the Rfam family "tRNA". From Rfam's summary of the family: Transfer RNA (tRNA) molecules are approximately 80 nucleotides in length. Their secondary structure includes four short double-helical elements and three loops (D, anti-codon, and T loops). The record is from RNAcentral.
CGUAAUAGCUCAGUUGGUAGAGCAGCCGCCUUGUAAGCGGCAGGUCGUCGGUUCAAGUCCGACUUGCG